RNAcentral lists this transfer RNA (68 nucleotides) under Capra hircus (goat). It matches the Rfam family "tRNA". Rfam says of the family: Transfer RNA (tRNA) molecules are approximately 80 nucleotides in length. Their secondary structure includes four short double-helical elements and three loops (D, anti-codon, and T loops). Further hydrogen bonds mediate the characteristic L-shaped molecular structure. tRNAs have two regions of fundamental functional importance: the anti-codon, which is responsible for specific mRNA codon recognition, and the 3' end, to which the tRNAs corresponding amino acid is attached (by aminoacyl-tRNA synthetases). tRNAs cope with the degeneracy of the genetic code in two manners: having more than one tRNA (with a specific anti-codon) for a particular amino acid; and 'wobble' base-pairing, i.e. permitting non-standard base-pairing at the 3rd anti-codon position. Lineage: Eukaryota; Metazoa; Chordata; Mammalia; Artiodactyla; Bovidae. RNAcentral also lists the same sequence under 1 other name. The record is from Rfam by way of RNAcentral.
UCCUUGGCUCAGCGGUAAAGCAUCUGCCUGCAGUGCAGGAGAGCUGGGUUCGAUCCCUGGGUCAGGAA